Alligator sinensis (Chinese alligator) is the source of this 472-nucleotide non-coding RNA. Lineage: Eukaryota; Metazoa; Chordata; Crocodylia; Alligatoridae. The record is from the annotation of a RefSeq genome assembly.
CUGCCUGCUUGGAGAUUAAUUUCUUCUCAGGCACAGGAUGGAGAUGCCCCAGCUACUUCUUGCCCUGUUCUGCUCUUUCACCUGUGCCACCUCGGCAGUGACACUGGUGGAGUCUGGCCCAGGGGUGGUGAAGCCUGGAGGAACCCUGACCCUGACCUGUGCUGUCUCUGGUGCCUCCAUUUAUGAUUCAAGCUAUGGUUGGAACUGGAUCCGGCAGCCUCCUGGGAAAGGGCUGGAGUGGGUAGCAUACAUCUAUCCUUACAGUGGGGGCACAUUGUUCAACCCCUCUCUCCAGAGCCGAACCACCAUCUCUGCAGACACAUCCAAGGACCAGGUCUCCCUGCAGCUGCGCUACCUGGCAGCGGCAGACACCGCCACGUAUUUCUGUGCCAGGGACACAGUGACACAGAGCAGAGCAGGGGCUGCACAAAAAGGCGAAGCUUUUCUCACCCACAUGCCCCAGGUCUUUUGA